GGACUGAAGCGGGAAUAAAUUGAAACCGAAGGACGAGCGCACGUGCCGAACACGUGAGCGGAUCUCGAAAGACAAAACUCUUGCUCCGAGCAGAGAGCUGAGCUCUGAGAGUCUGAGCUAAAAAAGGAAAAUUGCGCAAUUUCAAUUUUCAAGUCCUCAAAUCAUCGCAAAUUGAGAACAGGAACUGUCAGAGAUGAUGAGAGUUUUCGGCGUUAAAAAAGACAAACAAGCUUCAAUUCAAGACACUUCCGAUCGGAUCAAUAAAAGAGGUGAGACGGUGGAUGAGAAAAUAAAGAAGCUAGAUACUGAACUUGCAAGGUGCAGAGAACAGAUAAAGAAGACCCGUCCGGGUCCUGCACAAGAGGUUAUCAAGGCUCGAGCGAUGAGGAUUCUCAAGCAAAAGAGGGUGUAUGAAGGUCAACGUGAUAUGCUGUACAAUCAGACAUGCAACCUAGACCAAGUUGCAUCUGCUUCCGAGGAGACCAAAGAUGCUAAAAAAAAUCACUCCAUGGGGCAUAACUCACGGCUUGUCAGGCGAAGCUUGUUCUGUAACCUGAUUGGAACCUGCUGCCUACCCUCAUAGCGGUAGGAGACUAGGAGGACAUCCUAUUUGUUUCAGGUGAGGGAUUUUGUAUUUACUUGACCUGGAGUUUCAUGUAGAGCCAAGAAGUCUCAAUUUAGAUUUGGAGGCUUCAUUGGGCCAUUAGUUUCAUUCUAUUAUCAGAAGCAGACGUGUAGACCUUCAAUCUCGCAAGCAACCUGAUCUGGAAUCUGAACUUAACUUGCCAGCCCAGCUGCACCUAUGGUCAUUGGUCAAGCACCCAGGUUGAAGAUGAACUAGGCUUGCCCACUGCCCCCUCAAGCAUCAAUCCAUGGCUUCUAAGGAAUCUUGUUUCUGGAAGUGCUGAUGUAAAAUGCUGUGCAGACAGUAUAAAUUUUGCUUGCUAUCUUGUUCUUCCAGAUAUAGAUGGUUGUCAAUCUGUUGUAAUAAUGCACAUUAUUGACAGUGUAGAUAAUAUUAUAAAGACUUGCAAA
Molecule: RNA transcript, 1035 nt
Organism: Ipomoea nil (Japanese morning glory)
Lineage: Eukaryota; Viridiplantae; Streptophyta; Magnoliopsida; Solanales; Convolvulaceae
Gene name: charged multivesicular body protein 5-like
Exons: 6
Source: RefSeq, a predicted model, not a curated record